Non-coding RNA from Aphanomyces invadans, 81 nucleotides. The record is from Rfam. Lineage: Eukaryota; Oomycota; Saprolegniomycetes; Saprolegniales; Verrucalvaceae.
UUGAUGUGAUGUCGAAAGAUAAUCCAACUCUGAAGCUUACAUGUUGACCAAACAAUCUAGAGCUUUUUAACCCUGAUCAAC